UUCAAUACAUGUAGUUCUAAAUGAACCACAACGAAGCAGACUCCUUCAGAAGCACAACACUGAGACUAAGUGACCACAAUUGCUUUCAUUUAACUCCAUCCAUACGCACAGAUAAAGCCCCACAUUUGUGGCAGUUUAUUUUUUUAAGUAUUGAUUCCAUUUUGAGAGUGUCAUAGACUUAGAUAAGCAGAACUAAAAGCACCUAAUAAGUAGCUUUAAUUCUCACUGAAGUUAAUAGGAGUUUAGGGCACUAAAAUCUAAAUCAAGGAGAAAUGAUCAACAAGGCUGCGGGCUUAGGACAGAGCAGACUAACAAUACUGGAGUCAUGCAGGAGGUAGCAUGAAUAGCACACAUACUCGGUGUUCUUGGAUUACUAUUUUUAAGCAACCGCUAUGAGGCCACAGUUCAAAGAUUUCACAGAGAAGAAAUCACAAGAGUUAAGUUUAGCAAAAGCUGACCAAUCUACUGCGAAAUUCAAGGCACGAGGGCCGUAUGAAAGACCCCGGCGUGGAAAGGAAACUGAAGGAGACAAGGGUAAACAGUGGAUGAGCUGCAGAACUUCACUGUUUCACAGGACGGUUACGUCGCUGUGGGAGCGGACUUUGCCUAGAAAGAGACACUUUUUCAGGUGCAGAAAGUUGAAUUCAGGAUAAAGCUCUGAAAGUGUUGUUACCUCGCAUAUGGAACAGCACUUCCCCUGCGAUACCCCAAGCGUCGUCGUGCCUCCCUACGGGGGCAAGAGGGGAAAGGCACAGCGGGAGCCCUUCCACUGCCUCGCCCCGUGGCUUUGGGCAGGUCGAGCGCAGCGCCCGGCAUGCCGCCCCCGAGGCCUCGGAGCCCAGAGCAGCACGAACCCCCGUUUUGGAGCAGGAUACAAGUCCCGUUUCACCCCAACAACACCUGCAGUCCGACUGUCUGUCAGCGCUGGUUCAGACCUACCCCAUGCUGAAGUUUACUGUCAAAUGUAUUUACUGAAUUUCCUGGGUUUGUGUGAAAAUAAACAAGUCAAGUCAUGAGGUCUACGAAGAAAACCAAG
Grus americana (Whooping crane) is the source of this 1036-nucleotide long non-coding RNA. RefSeq lists it as uncharacterized. The transcript has 3 exons. Lineage: Eukaryota; Metazoa; Chordata; Aves; Gruiformes; Gruidae. The record is from RefSeq and is a predicted model, not a curated record.